This 23-nucleotide microRNA is filed under the name Scyliorhinus torazame (cloudy catshark). RNAcentral's name for it is "Sto-Mir-146-P4_5p (mature (guide))". The record is from RNAcentral. Lineage: Eukaryota; Metazoa; Chordata; Chondrichthyes; Carcharhiniformes; Scyliorhinidae.
UGAGAACUGAAUUCCAUGAGUUG